RNAcentral lists this small nuclear RNA (122 nucleotides) under Callithrix jacchus (white-tufted-ear marmoset). Its description in RNAcentral is "U4 spliceosomal RNA". It matches the Rfam family "U4 spliceosomal RNA". From Rfam's summary of the family: U4 small nuclear RNA (U4 snRNA) is a component of the major U2-dependent spliceosome. The structure of U4 snRNA from yeast and human has been reported. Lineage: Eukaryota; Metazoa; Chordata; Mammalia; Primates; Cebidae. The record is from Rfam by way of RNAcentral.
GGCAGUGUGCAUGGCAGUAUCGUAGCCAAUGAGGUUUAUCCGAGGCGCGAUUAUUGCUAAUUGAAAACUUUUCCCAAUACCCCUCCGUGACGACUUGCAAUAUGUCCUAUUCUUUAAAAAAA